UUUGGAUAGGGGAUAGGGAUAGGGACCCCUUAUCCCCUUUAUAUCCAAAUGCUAAUUUUUUAUCUGAGAACAGUAGUUAUCGAUUACCUAUAAUAAUCGGGUAUAACUAUUCCCACUAACACCUUCAUUUUCUAUAUAAAACUAUCUACUAUUUUUCUUAUUCCAUAUUAUCUAUCCAAACGUUAUUUUUCUUAUCCCUGGAAACAACUCAAUUUUCAUCCAAAUAUUAUUUUUCUUAUCUCCAUACUUGUACCUAUUCCUGUAAUAGCUAAUUCUUGCUUAUACCAGAACCAAACGCUAUAAAUAUAACUAGUAUGGAAUAACAU
This 326-nucleotide long non-coding RNA is filed under the name Ananas comosus (pineapple). RNAcentral describes it as "long non-coding RNA (ACOM_LNC015614)". The record is from RNAcentral. Lineage: Eukaryota; Viridiplantae; Streptophyta; Magnoliopsida; Poales; Bromeliaceae.